CGACUAGAAGUCCACCACGAUCAACAUAUUGUGCUUUUACUCGCUGCGGGCGAUAUUAUCGUAUAUUGUCCCACCCUACCGACCCCAAGACGUAAAGCCACCCCUCCCUGACGCUGCCAACCGACUGCAGCUUUACACCGAGAGUCAACAUUUCCGAUAACAACUGUUAAGCUUCUUCAUUGAUGACCACAACCUGCUUAACGGAAGAAGGAGCGGAAGAACACGAAACCAGGACGGGCCACCACAGACGCCCCGCUGAAAAAUGCCGAAAAGCACAUAAACCACGAAACCUAGCCAAAAGCAGUGGACACUCAGCUGUGUUGGCAGAAAAGCACCUAUGUGGGGGGAAAAAGCUUCAGCACCAUGGACAGCAACCAUAAUCACUCCAACCUGGAAGUGAAAAGUAUAGGACCAUGUGUGUAUGGAUCUGCCGGGUCACACAAACAUGUUGAGGUCAGCGGUGUCAAACUCAAAUGACCUUGAGGCCAGUGAGCAUCUAGUCUGGUCAAGAGGGAGCCGGACUAGAGAAAAAAAGUGGGAAAAUAAAGCAGUGAGACAACACGGGCCACACCAGAACAUGCACAUUCCCAGAGUGAUGGCCAAGUUUAUAACUCUGCUCCUCCGAGAGGCAGCCGAGGCCUUGGAGCAGCUAGAUUCACCCUGUCGAGGCAUUAGCUCAUGAAAAAUACCUCCCAUUAAUGAAUUUACUGUGGGUCACUCUAGAGACUGACAAGAUAGAGGAUGAUUGAGUGAGACUGUGGGUGUUGUUCAGCUCAUGUUUGCAGAUGCAGAGAAUGGACUCGCCCUCAGACCGACCUCUAAGAACAAUGUCAUGUCAUUUACGCAACUAUAUUUCUAACCCUCACAACCGUCUAUCAUCUUCACACAGUGGGGUAUUGAUUGGCAAAUAAAGGACAUUUAAUUUCUAUCUCAGCAGGCUGGUUGAGCCCAGCUGUCCUUCAGUCCCCCUUUUCUCAGUUUAAUGGAAUAUUCCAGGGAGAGAAAGGCAUACGCAGAGACUACAGAGAAGCAAGAAGUGAGUAGAUGUGUGCCGUCAACACCGCCACUCCACGGGGAAUGCUGAUUUGAUGAGUUCCUGUCAUGAAAUGUACAUGACAGUAAUGCACUGGGGAGUUCUCCCACCACUCAUUCACGCUGUCAUGUGAAUAUGAUUAAUCCUUUGUGAAGGAUGCCGUACUUAUAGAACACACCGUCGACGUUUCUACGUGCUGCGAGACACGUCUCCUCCGCACGGUGGAAGCAACAAAGUCAACGGUAUAAAAGUCACAAGACAUAGGACAUGAAAAGUAUAAAAAAAGUACUGGUUUUCUUCUUCACAAAAGAAAGGAAUAACAUGGAAACACUAAAAUAUGUUUUGUUCCUCAUAAAACUUUCAGUCUUUUGUUCCAACAACCAGUGGUUUAGGCCAAAAAAGGACACAUGUCCUGUAUUUCACUGUCCUCUUUACUACCAAAUGCAGUAAUAAUCAUUUAAUGGCCCGUUAAGGAUGUUCUUUGAUAGGAUAAAUGUUCCCUGCCCAUGGCUUACAGGGCAAAUCACAUAAAAAGUCUACUACUGCGGUUACUAUAUGACUCCCACCUCUCCAUACAAACGAUGACUCAUCUAUCUGCCUCAAGUUGACACUUUAAAGUGGACGUGUGUUGUGACUGUUAACAUCAUUCUGUCUACAGUUAAGAGCUGCUUCGGAUUACUAAUUUCAAAUUAAGUAAUGAAAAGAAAAAAUAAUCUUUUUGGACGAACCACCCUAAGAUCUAAAAGCAACAUCAAAUCAUUUGUCUUGUUUUACAGUGAAGUUUAUUAUUGGCUUGUUUACGUUUUUGCUCUGGAAUCAAGGGAAUAACUGACUGUUAAUUAAACACACUGUCAUUUCUAUCGCUAGGUUCCUCAGUCAAAUUAACAAUUCUCUUUACAGGGAGAACUUUGGUGGCAAAAUAAAAUAAAAUAAAAAGAUAACUCAGUGGCUAACUAGCAAUCCUGAAUAUAUCCUUUCUCACAAGCUGUAGACCUUAUUUUUUUUGGCAGAAACAUGUCCGGCCAUCAUUUAUGUAAGAGACUUCUAGUUCAGCAUGUCUGGUCAGUAGUUCACCCUGCAGGCAACAGACAACAGGUAUCAUGUGCACAGUCAGCAGUUGCUAUAACAGCAGUGGGUUUAAGCGAAAAAGGCUUCAAUGGAACGAGAGCGUUUUGAUCGUCAGCCGCAAA
Long non-coding RNA from Solea solea (common sole), 2223 nucleotides. RefSeq lists it as uncharacterized. The record is from RefSeq and is a predicted model, not a curated record. The transcript has 4 exons. NCBI's taxonomy places the organism in Eukaryota, Metazoa, Chordata, Actinopteri, Pleuronectiformes, Soleidae.